AACCGAGUCUUAACUGGGCGUUAAGUUGCAGGGUAUAGACCCGAAACCCGGUGAUCUAGCCAUGGGCAGGUUGAAGGUUGGGUAACACUAACUGGAGGACCGAACCGACUAAUGUUGAAAAAUUAGCGGAUGACUUGUGGCUGGGGGUGAAAGGCCAAUCAAACCGGGAGAUAGCUGGUUCUCCCCGAAAGCUAUUUAGGUAGCGCCUCGUGAACUCAUCUUCGGGGGUAGAGCACUGUUUCGGCUAGGGGGUCAUCCCGACUUACCAACCCGAUGCAAACUACGAAUACCGAAGAAUGUUAUCACGGGAGACACACGGCGGGUGCUAACGUCCGUCGUGAAGAGGGAAACAACCCAGACCGCCAGCUAAGGUCCCAAAGUCAUGGUUAAGUGGGAAACGAUGUGGGAAGGCACAGACAGCCAGGAUGUUGGCUUAGAAGCAGCCAUCAUUUAAAGAAAGCGUAAUAGCUCACUGGUCGAGUCGGCCUGCGCGGAAGAUGUAACGGGGCUAAACCAUGCACCGAAGCUGCGGCAGCGACACUAUGUGUUGUUGGGUAGGGGAGCGUUCUGUAAGCCUGCGAAGGUGACCUGUGAGGGUUGCUGGAGGUAUCAGAAGUGCGAAUGCUGACAUAAGUAACGAUAAAGCGGGUGAAAAGCCCGCUCGCCGGAAGACCAAGGGUUCCUGUCCAACGUUAAUCGGGGCAGGGUGAGUCGACCCCUAAGGCGAGGCCGAAAGGCGUAGUCGAUGGGAAACAGGUUAAUAUUCCUGUACUUGGUGUUACUGCGAAGGGGGGACGGAGAAGGCUAUGUUAGCCGGGCGACGGUUGUCCCGGUUUAAGCAUGUAGGCUGAUUAUCCAGGCAAAUCCGGAUAAUCAAGGCUGAGGUGUGAUGACGAGGCACUACGGUGCUGAAGUAACAAAUGCCCUGCUUCCAGGAAAAGCCUCUAAGCAUCAGGUAACAUCAAAUCGUACCCCAAACCGACACAGGUGGUCAGGUAGAGAAUACCAAGGCGCUUGAGAGAACUCGGGUGAAGGAACUAGGCAAAAUGGUGCCGUAACUUCGGGAGA
This 1068-nucleotide ribosomal RNA is filed under the name Klebsiella pneumoniae. RNAcentral describes it as "partial 23S ribosomal RNA". It matches the Rfam family "Bacterial large subunit ribosomal RNA", at positions 675 to 1743 of the family's 2925-position model. Lineage: Bacteria; Pseudomonadati; Pseudomonadota; Gammaproteobacteria; Enterobacterales; Enterobacteriaceae. The record is from RNAcentral.